This 487-nucleotide ribosomal RNA is filed under the name uncultured bacterium. RNAcentral describes it as "bacterial SSU rRNA". It matches the Rfam family "Bacterial small subunit ribosomal RNA", at positions 28 to 500 of the family's 1533-position model. The record is from RNAcentral.
GAUGAACGCUAGCGGCAGGCUUAAUACAUGCAAGUUGAGGGGCAGCAUGAUAUACGCGAGUAUAUUGAUGGCGACCGGCGGACGGGUGAGUAAUAGGUAGGAGACCUACCUCAUACAGGGGGAUAGCAUAGAGAAAUCUGUGGUAAUACCCCAUGAGGUUAUAUGAAUAGAGGCAUAUAAUCAAAGCAUAAGCGAUUAUGCGGUAUGAGAGGGGCCUACUGACCAUUAGCUAGUUGGUGAGGUAAGGGCUCACCAAGGCGAAGAUGGUUAGGGGUUUUGAGAGAGAGAUCCCCCACAUUGGAACUGAGAUACGGUCCAGACUCCUACGGGAGGCAGCAGUAGGGAAUAUUGGGCAAUGGGCGGAAGCCUGACCCAGCCAUGCCGCGUGAAGGAAGAAGUCCUCGGAUGCAAACUUCUGAACUAGCCGAAUAAAAGGCCUGUGGACACACAGGAGAAGAAAGUAGGACUAGGAAAAGUACCCGGCUAA